AGGGGGAUAACAGUUGGAAACGACUGCUAAUACCGCAUACGCCCUACGGGGGAAAGGAGGGGACCUUCGGGCCUUUCGCGAUUGGAUGAACCCAGGUGGGAUUAGCUAGUUGGUGGGGUAAUGGCUCACCAAGGCGACGAUCCCUAGCUGGUCUGAGAGGAUGAUCAGCCACACCGGAACUGAGACACGGUCCAGACUCCUACGGGAGGCAGCAGUGGGGAAUAUUGCACAAUGGGGGAAACCCUGAUGCAGCCAUGCCGCGUGUGUGAAGAAGGCCUUCGGGUUGUAAAGCACUUUCAGCGAGGAGGAAAGGUUGGCGCCUAAUACGUGUCAACUGUGACGUUACUCGCAGAAGAAGCACCGGCUAACUCCGUGCCAGCAGCCGCGGUAAUACGGAGGGUGCAAGCGUUAAUCGGAAUUACUGGGCGUAAAGCGCACGCAGGCGGUUGGAUAAGUUAGAUGUGAAAGCCCCGGGCCUAACCUGGGAAUUGCAUUUAAAAACUGUCCAGCUAGAGUCCUGUA
RNAcentral lists this ribosomal RNA (522 nucleotides) under uncultured bacterium. RNAcentral's name for it is "bacterial SSU rRNA". It matches the Rfam family "Bacterial small subunit ribosomal RNA", at positions 137 to 653 of the family's 1533-position model. The record is from RNAcentral.